AACGGUCUAUACCUGCGGUACCUGCGGAGGGAUCAUUACAGAGUUCGUGCCCUCUGGGUAGAUCUCCCACCCACUGUUUUCCUUACGACCGUUGCUUUGGCGGGCCGCCGGCCCUGCCCGGCCGCCGGCGCCCAGCUGGCGCGCGCCCGCCAGAGGCCCUCCAGACUCUGAAUGUUAGCGUCGUCUGAGUACCACAUAAUAAGUUAAAACUUUCAGCAAUGGAUCUCUAGAUCGGAAGAG
This 240-nucleotide unclassified non-coding RNA is filed under the name soil metagenome. RNAcentral describes it as "partial contains 5.8S ribosomal RNA, internal transcribed spacer 2, and large subunit ribosomal RNA". The record is from RNAcentral.